Molecule: ribosomal RNA, 429 nt
Filed under: Acidobacteriota bacterium
Lineage: Bacteria; Pseudomonadati; Acidobacteriota
Description: Acidobacteria bacterium partial 16S ribosomal RNA
Rfam family: Bacterial small subunit ribosomal RNA
Source: RNAcentral
UGGGGAAUUUUGGACAAUGGGGGAAACCCUGAUCCAGCCAUCCCGCGUGUGCGAUGAAGGCCUUCGGGUUGUAAAGCACUUUUGGCAGGAAAGAAACGUCAUGGGUCAAUACCCCGUGAAACUGACGGUACCUGCAGAAUAAGCACCGUCUAACUACGUGCUAGCAGCCGCGGUAAUACGUAGGGUGCAAGCGUUAAUCGGAAUUACUGGGCGUAAAGCGUGCGCAGGCGGUUCGGAAAGAAAGAUGUGAAAUCCCAGAGCUCAACUUUGGAACUGCAUUUUUAACUACCGGGCUAGAGUGUGUCAGAGGGAGGUGGAAUUCCGCGUGUAGCAGUGAAAUGCGUAGAUAUGCGGAGGAACACCGAUGGCGAAGGCAGCCUCCUGGGAUAACACUGACGCUCAUGCACGAAAGCGUGGGGAGCAAACAGG